This 25715-nucleotide long non-coding RNA is filed under the name Physcomitrium patens. Its description in RNAcentral is "long non-coding RNA (PPAT_LNC004329)". Lineage: Eukaryota; Viridiplantae; Streptophyta; Bryopsida; Funariales; Funariaceae. The record is from RNAcentral.
ACAAAGUUUAUUAACAUGAAAUUACACAUCCCUUGAAAUUUUGAGCCAAAACCUCACAAAAUUGCUCAAGAUAUAGCUCAAGAAACAAACACUAGUAAAUCGGUUUACUUACUACCCUUAAAUUGCAUGUGCUGACUUCAAAAUCCAAUAACUCCUUCAUCCCAACUUAGAAUCCAGUAAGCAGUAUGUGAAAAGUAUAGCCGCAAAAGUGCUCUAUCCAGUCGCGGUCGCCGAUCCUCAAUUGCCGUCCGUACGCGUGCGUUAUGCCCCAAAGAGUGACAGUAGGUCCAGAACUAAUACCUUAACUUUGAGCGCCUAUAACUUCUUCAUAAAAACCCCAAAUAACAUAAAACUUGCACCAAAACCUUAACCAAAAACCUAAACCUUCUGACCUUAGCCUUCAAAGUUCGAAUGGCCUCGAGAAACUAACCCUAAUCCCUAAUAUGGCCUCGGGCAGCCUCCUCAAAACCCAUUGGUCAUGAUUUUUGACCAAUAGGAAUGGAGAUUUUUAUUUUUCAUCUCCAUUCAUCUAUAUUGGUGCCCUAAUUCCUCCCUUUGCUACCAAAAUCCUUCUUCAAUCAUUUUUCUUAUAAGAUUUACAUAAUGUAUGCUCUAAACACCAAAUAAAAGAACCAAAAUAAGUUUUCAAAUGUCACCAAUGUCUAACAAAGGUGACUCUAAAUAUUUAGAAGUUACUAUCAACCAAAACCAAUCUUAAAAGCCACUAUCAAAAAGAAAUUAAAGUUAUAUAAAUUCUAUAAUAAUCUUUUUAAACAACCUCUUUUCAAAGUAAUAAUCAAAUUAUAUUCUACAACCAAAUAAAAUCUAAUAAUAUGGCUCUCAUCAUGUUACUUAAUAAAUUAUAUAUUAAAUACAUAAUUACAUUAUUUUUAUAUAGUAGCCAAACCACAACACGAUAACAUAAAAAUAGCGUAUGCUCCACUGGCGUCAUCGAACCAAGUACCCUCCGUACUAAUGUCACGGACACAAAAUACAGACUUGAAAUCUAACAAGAAGUUCAAGAAGAAGUGGCAGAACUAGAUUAAACAGAUGAGUAUAAGAACAACACCAGAAAGGUGAGCUAGAACUCCAAGAGAUGUGUUGUCGAGACUGAAGAACCCUUCAGCCUCGACUCCUAUAUAUACUACUGAAUAGGAAGCUUCUCGAGCUACUUCCGCUAACUAGGACGCUUCUCCAACAACUUCUACUAAUUAGGAAACUUCUCGAGCAACUUCCUAGAAUCUAUCAGAAUAUUCUAGAACCUUCUAAGAAUAUUCUAGAACAUUCUAAGAGAAUCUUUAGGAAAUAUUCUAAGAAUCUUUUAGAACAUUCUAAAGGAAUCUUUAGAGAAUCUUUAAAGAAUAUUCUAAAAGAAUAUUCAAAGAAUCUUCUAAUGUAUGUCCAUGACAUCACCUCCUCUUCUAACUUCGAGGUCUCCGAGAAGCAAUGUUGUUAUCAGUCAAUACCAACGCAAGAAAAUGAAAAUCUGUCGCAUCACAUCCGCUAUGAAUUCCAAUUGUUGUUCGCGAGGCAAAUGAUUCAUCGGUCCUUGGAGCCAACGGUAGUGACCAAUACCUUCAACCUCUGACCAAGCGUGGACUUCUGUGUCUUCAUUGUGAAACUGUCCUCCAAACACACCUUCUGGCUGACCGUCGUAGGCAGGCUCGACCUCAAAUACAAUUACUAGCGAUCUGUUGCUCGGUAUCCUUCGACGUCAUCGUGGUGCAGGCGGUUCUUCAUCUCACGAUCGUCUUCGUGAGCUAGUCGCUUGAGAUGACAUAACAAGUGUAGUAUCUUGACUAUCCAUGUCUAAAGGCUAAAAUGAUGAGAGCAAACUAUAGUUGCUAACAAAGUUCUACACUAUCGAACUAUGGGUUUUGGAGGUGCCGUCCUCCCUUUUUAUGCUACUUGAUGAGCAAGCUUCAGCAAGAAGCUAUCGUUGAAUCGGCUUAGGUUUAUGAGGAUAUCGUUGAUGAAAUUCUUGUACCUUUUUUGGUGCAUUGGCAAGAUUUUUGGCACGCUCCCACGUUCGUUCAUUGAUGUCGUAUCCACUCCAAUGCACUAAAUACUCCAAUUUUCUCCUAUUACGCCGUGAAUCUAAUACCUUUUCCACCUCGUAUUCCUCAUGGUUUUCAAUUUCGAUACUUGGUGGCGGACUUUGUACUCUUUGGGGAAAAGCUGACUCUCGAUAAGGUUCCAACAAAGACACAUGAAAGACUGGAUGUACCUUCAUAGUAGCUGGUAACUCCAGAUGAUAUGCCACCGGAUUGAUCUGCUUCUCGAUAACAAAUGGCCCUAAUCUCCGAUAGUCCAAUUUGUCACAUGGCCGCUUGGUCUUGAUAUUCCGUCGAAGAAGCCAUACUUUACUUCCAACUUUAAAAGUAGGCGCCUCAUUUCGAUAUUUAUCUACAGAUGCCUUGUAACUCUCUUGGGCAGAUUGCAAUUGAAGCUUCAAUGUCGCUUGAAGCUCCGAUAGUUGCUUCACAAAUCCUUCAGCUGCUGGGUUGUUAUUUGCUGAAGAACUCAAUAAAUCGAGCUUGAGGUGGUAUCCGUAGUUGGAGAAGAAUGGUGUUUGUUGAGUUGAUGCAUGAAGAGUGUUGUUGUAUGCAAACUCAGCAAGCGAUAGAUAUGCAGUCCAAUCAUCUUGUUGAUAGUUGAUGCUGCAUCGUAAAUAUUGCUCCAAAACUUGAUUCACCCGCUCCGUUUGACCGUCAGUUUGAGGAUGAAAAGCCGAAGAGAGCUUAAUAUCCACCUUCAAUAUCUCAAAGAGAGACCUCCAAAACUUGGAUACAAACUGAGUACCUCGAUCCGACACGAUAUCAUCUGGUAGGCCAUGAUAACGAUAUAUGUUAUCAAGAAAGAGUCUUGCGGUGUCUUCACUUGACGAUGUUUUCUUGCAAGGCACGAAAUGCGCCAUCUUUGUAAAUCGAUCCACCACAACAAAGAUGCUGUCAAAUGAAUUCGAUGGCGGUAGGUCCGUAAUGAAGUCCAUAGAAACUGAAGACCAUGGUCGGUGCGGAAUAGGCAAUGACUGGAGAAGUCCAUAUGGACGAUGUCGAGGGAUCUUGAAUCUUGAACAAACAUCACAAGAAAGGACAAAUUCCUUCACAUCCUUCCACAUUUGGGGCCACCAAAAAUCUCGUGAAAUAAGCUCCAAAGUCUUGUUGAAUCCAAAAUGUCCCGUAGCUAGAAAGUUGUGGCGAGAUUGAAGUACUCGGAGUCGAGUUGAUCCUUUUGGGAUAUACAACUGCUCCUCAAAAUACAGAAGAUCUCCCUCCACCUUAAAUUUGUCAUUAUCGACACGUUGUUUGAUGUCAAGAGCUAUAGAAUCCUCAAUGGUCGCAGUACGUACCUCGCUGAGGAAGCCGUCAUCGAUAGUUGCAACAGUAGCAAAAAUCCUGAAUUUUUCUGGUUUCAACAAUGUUGUACAUUGUUGAUCAAACGCUGCUUCUCCAGCCUUUGGCGCAAGAUACGAUCUCCUCGAUAAUGCGUCAGAUAAUCCUUGCUGUUUUCCAGGGCAGUAGGUGAUAAUAAAGUCAAAUCGUGAUAGAGACAUAUUCCAUCGAGCUUGACGACGAUUCAAAAUUUGAGCUGUCAUGAAGUACUCCAAAUUCUUGUGGUCCGUAUAAACAGUCACUGGAUGUGCAGCUCCUUCGAGGAAGUGACGCCACUCUUGGAAGGCAUCCACUAUAGCAAGCAGCUCUUUGUCGUGGAUCUCGUAGUUGAUCUCAGCAGCAGAGAACUUUCGUGAAUAGAACGCAACUGGGUGAAGCUUCUUGUCUAUGCCCAUCUGUGAAAGCACAGCUCCCAAAGCAAAAUCUGAAGCAUCGGUCUCUAAAUAGAAAGCCUUUGCAAAGUCAGGGUGUACCAAGAUUGGAGCCGUAGUGAAUGCCGUCUUGAGAUCUUGAAAUGCUUUUGCUGCUUGUGAUCCCCAUUCGAGCUUGUCUUUGCUUGUUAGACGCGUGAGUGGUGCAGCAACUUGAGAAUAAUUCUUGAUGAAGAUCCGAUAGAAGUUAACAAAUCUAAGAAAAUACUGAACAUCUCUAACCGUCUUCGGAACUUCCCAAGAUAUAAUUGCUUCUACCUUUUUUGGAUCCAUCUUCAAGCCCUCUGUAGUCGCAAUGAAGCCCAAAAAUUCCAUCUCAUUCUGGUGAAAUUGACACUUCUCCAACUUGGCGUAGAGUCCUCGUUCGCGUAGUUUUUCAAGAACCAAACAAACGUGCUUCUCAUGUUCUUCUUCAUUCUUGGAAAAUAUCAAAAUAUCAUCUAGAUAGAUGACAACAAAGUCAUCGAGGUACUCCCGAAAGAUGUCGUUCAUCAUAUGCUGAAAGACCGCUGGAACAUUGGUAAGACCAAAAGGCAUGACAUUGUACUCAAAAUGGCCAUACCUUGUACGAAAGGCUGUCUUCCAUUCAUCUCCUUCUUUGAUUCGCACAAGGUUGUAGGCUCCUCUUAAAUCAAUCUUUGUAAAAAUCCUUGCACGUCCAAGUUGAUCUAAGAGGCCGGAGAUCAAAGGUAAGGGAUAGCGAUUUUUCUUGGUCACCUUGUUGAGUCCUCGGUAGUCCACGCACAUCCGCAGUGAGCCAUCCUUUUUCUUCACGAAUAGGAUUGGUGCUCCAGCUGGCGACUUUGAAUGUCGAAUAAAAUUUUUGGCUAGAUUUUCAUCGAUGUACUUCCGCUGUCGUAUUACGUGCUUUCCUGCUCGAGAACGCGCCGGGCGUCUGGCUGUAGAAGGUAGUAUGGAGAUUCACCGAUAGUCAAGCAGUCUAUCAGUUUUUGACUGCUGGAAUAUAAACGACUGCAACAAUGUACCGUAAAUCUAUACGGGUGCUCUUCGACUGCUUGUCGGAGUCCUUUUUGCCCCAGCCGGUAGGUCUCUAGACGUUACAGAGAACCCCGUACAACCCAAACUGUUAACGUUCAAUACUCCUUUGUACUUACGAUCUUGUAUCCACUGACUGUCUUGUUAGAUUAACCCAAUAAAUUUCAUUCACUCCGCAUACUCAAUCCUAUAGACACCCUUUUAAUCCUUCAAUCACAGACGUAACUCGAUUUCACAAAACAGUCAAGAGUAUUCAAAUCCACUUCAUUUAAAAAUCCCGAUUCACCAGUACAACACUGACUUCAGCAGCGAUAGCCUCAGUCUUCCCCAAAACUCUACGAAGAAGAAAAAUCCAAAUCCUAUGUCUUUCCUUCCCCGACCCGAAGCAUGAAGCUCCUCUCUCUAAUUCCCUUGAUCUCCAAAAACCUCCCAUCCCCCCUAACCUUAUCCUCUGAAUUUCUUCAAUCUUCCGUCUUAGAUCCGGAAUUGGCUCCCACCUCAAGCUUUCUCCUCCGUUUUUACCUUUAAGAAAUCCAUUUACCGAAAACAACGUUCCCUGAGACGGCACAGAGAACAGGACAGCCUGAAACAGAAUCGAACCCCGUAAUCGGGACUUCAUUGAGUCGCCCGACCAAUUCAGGUCCUAUAUUGGGAAAGAUGCCCGUAAUAACCUGGAUGUUCCCGUAAUUAGACUGCAUUGGGUUGCCCCACCAAUACAGGUCUCAUAUUGGGUAAGAGGACCCGGAUUGGAUUAUCGAAAUUGGAUCCAAUUGGCUCCUCGAACCCGUCGUGUGAAUUGGUCCUUCUCUUCCUACUGACUCCCGUUAUUCGAAUCAAACGGGGCAUUCCAGUAUGCCCCGGCUGACUGUAACGGAGUCACUGAACCUGACCACUCAGUAUUUGUACUGGAGUUGGUCGAUGCUCCCAAUAUUCGAGAUAACUGAAUAUUAAUAAAAUCCCCCUUUCUUUUUAUUUUCACUGUAUACUCCUGUUACAACACGACACCGCAAUUCUGCCAACUCCGUCUGCGAUAGGUUGUAUAUUGGACCAAAAGGUGGUUGCGCUCCUUCCUCUAAGUCUAUGGCGCAAUCAUAUGGUCGAUGUUCCGGCAGUAUAUCGGCGUUCUUCUUCUGAAACACGUCUUCAAAAUCCCUAUAUUGCUAUGGUAUAUUCGAUGUUGAGAUAUUCUCGCCGCUAGUUGAAGCUGCAUAAAUGACAAAUGGUGCGCCUUCCUUGGACGAUCUUAGGAACGCUCUCGCUCCAAUAAACAUGGAUUUCUUUAUGUAGGUUCUACCAACAGGUUUAUUAUUAUUUUUUUCAGGAAAUGUUAUCCUUCGUAGCCUCCAAUCAAUGGACGGAUUAUGAUUUUCUAAUCAAGAAAGACCAAGGAUAACAGGGCUUGAUGGGGUUCUAAUAAUAUUAAAAAUAACGUGACUACUAUGGUCCUUAAACACCACUUCUAUAGGUUCUGAUUCGUGGGUAACGUUGCCUGACAAUAAGGGUCGUUCAUCUAUCACCUCUACGUGAACAGGUUUGGACUUCUGUACUAAACGGAUCUUGUGGCGUUUAGCAAACUCUUCAUCUAAAAAACAAGUAGAUGCCCCCGAAUCCAAUAAAGCUAAAGUUUUUUGUUUUUGAGGGCCUAAAAACAAAGGAAUUGUAAAACAACGGGCAGGUUGGACAGAGAAGGAGGAACCUGAUUGUUGUCGUGAUAUUAGAUUGUCCAGCCGCACGGUUCCUACUGUGGCUGGGCGUCGUCGUUUUCUGGAAUCAUCGCACUUCUAGUCUUGAUAGGGUGCCAAUUUUGCUUCUUUGGACAAUUUCCAACCUUGUGACCUUCUUCUCCACAGUACAAACAUAACCCUUCCUCCAUACGCCGUUUCUUCUCUGUUGGAAUAAGAGAUCGGACACGCGCCGUGUCGAUUUGCAUGUCUGUUACCUCCGAAUGUGAGUUUAAGCUAUUUGCAGACAUAGUCACGUCGUAACGAGUCAUUUGGUGUCUUGGACGUUGGUCUUGGCGACGCUGGAAUAGGCGGUUGUCACACUUUAUAGCUUGGCUAAUAGCUUCGUUGAGCGUUUGAGGAUCAGGAAGAGAUAACAACAAGUCCUUCACAUCAUCCUUCAAGCCCCAAUAAAACUGACUCACCAACGCCUCUUCACCCCAAUUAAUGUCACUUGCCAAUUGUCUGAAAUUCGAGGCAUAGACUGAUAUAGAGCGUGUUCCUUGUCGUAGCGAUCGGAUCUUUGUUGUAGUCCAUCGAACUUUAUCAUGCUCGCCAAAUGCUUCUGCAAACGCCUCCAAGAACGUUUCAAAGUUACUCAGGAUUGGUGAUCGCUUCUCGAACAAGGGAGUAAACCAAGACAGAGCUUGUGCUGUAAGCAAGGUUCCAACAAGCCCAACACGCGCUUCCUCCGUCGGAUAACGUUCGGGCUGUAAAAUUGUUAUCAACCUGAUUUGGUUGACAAAACCUCGAAACUUGGAACGAGUUCUAUCAAACUUAUCCGGAAGACUAACUCGAGGCUCCUUUUGUUGUAGGACUACUCGAUCUUGUUGAAAUGGAGGUAGAACUGCUUCUUCUGGCGCAGAAGUUUGAGGCUGAUAUGCUUUAGAUGGCGCUAUCCCAGAUGCUCCAUUGUUAUGGAGUCCUACCAUGACUCCUUCGAUCUCUGUUGUCCUAUGUGACAACGAGGCAAGAGCAUUUAUGAUGGCAUCUAGUUUGGAUUCUAAACUUUCAGCCAUUUUAACGUCUUAACCUUCGGCUAACCUUCAGAAAGAAGAAAAAAGAGUUUUGACAAGAAGACAAUAUUGGUUCAGAGGAGAGUACUCCGCAACCUCUAAAACGCCUUAAGACUCCAAGAUGAGGGGUAAUCCACUCUCUCCAAGAAGAAUAAGGCUCCAAUAUUGAGAAAGAAGAGAUAUCAGUUUAGAGGAGGGUAAUCCGCAACCUCUAAAAUACUAGCACACCUUCAAGAAGAGGGAUAAUCCACUCUCUAACAAGAAGGAACUAGCUCUGAUACUAGUGAAAAUGCAGUCUCGACAAACUGUCACGGACACAAAAUGCAGACUUGAAAUCUAACAAGAAGUUCAAGAAGAAGUGGCAGAACUAGAUUAAACAGAUGAGUACAAGACAAAACCAAAAAGGUGAGCUAGAACUCCAAGAGAUGUGUUGUCGAGACUGAAGAACCCUUCAGCCUCGACUCCUACAUAUACUACUGUAUAGGAAGCUUCUCGAGCUACUUCCGCUAACUAGGACGCUUCUCCAACAACUUCUACUUAUUAGGAACUUCUCGAGCACUUCCUAGAUCUAUCAGUAUAUUCUAGACCUUCUAAGAGAUCUUUAGGNNNNNNNNNNNNNNNNNNNNNNNNNNNNNNNNNNNNNNNNNNNNNNNNNNNNNNNNNNNNNNNNNNNNNNNNNNNNNNNNNNNNNNNNNNNNNNNNNNNNNNNNNNNNNNNNNNNNNNNNNNNNNNNNNNNNNNNNNNNNNNNNNNNNNNNNNNNNNNNNNNNNNNNNNNNNNNNNNNNNNNNNNNNNNNNNNNNNNNNNNNNNNNNNNNNNNNNNNNNNNNNNNNNNNNNNNNNNNNNNNNNNNNNNNNNNNNNNNNNNNNNNNNNNNNNNNNNNNNNNNNNNNNNNNNNNNNNNNNNNNNNNNNNNNNNNNNNNNNNNNNNNNNNNNNNNNNNNNNNNNNNNNNNNNNNNNNNNNNNNNNNNNNNNNNNNNNNNNNNNNNNNNNNNNNNNNNNNNNNNNNNNNNNNNNNNNNNNNNNNNNNNNNNNNNNNNNNNNNNNNNNNNNNNNNNNNNNNNNNNNNNNNNNNNNNNNNNNNNNNNNNNNNNNNNNNNNNNNNNNNNNNNNNNNNNNNNNNNNNNNNNNNNNNNNNNNNNNNNNNNNNNNNNNNNNNNNNNNNNNNNNNNNNNNNNNNNNNNNNNNNNNNNNNNNNNNNNNNNNNNNNNNNNNNNNNNNGAAGCUGCGUUUGGAGGUCAGUUACACAUUGAAGAAAUAGAAGUCCACGCUCGGUCAGAGGUUGAAGGUGUUGGUCCACUACCGUCGGCUCCAAGGUCCGAUGAAGCAUUUGCCUAUCGAACAACAGUGGGAAUUCAUACGCGGAUGUGUUGCGACAGAUCUUCAUUUUCUUGCGUGGGCAUUGACUGAUAAUAACAUUGCGUCUCGGAGACCUCGAAGCUAGAAGAGGAGGUGAUGUCAUGGACAUACAUAGGAAGAUUCUUCGAAUAUUCUUCUAGAAGAUUCUUUAAAGAUUCUCUAAAGAAUCCUUUAGAAGGUUAUAAAAGAUUCUUAGAAUAUUCCCCAAAGAUUCUAGUAGAAUGUUCAAAAAUAUUCUUAGAAGGUUCUAGAAUAUUCUGAUAGAUUCUAGGAAGUUGCUCGAGAAGUUUCCUAAUUAGUAGAAGUUGUUGGAGAAGCGUCCUAGUUAGCGGAAGUAGCUCGAGAAGCUUCCUAUUCAGUAGUAUAUGUAGGAGUCGAGGCUGAAGGGUUCUUCAGUCUCGACAACACAUCUCUUGGAGUUCUAGCUCACCUUUUUGGUGUUGUUCUUGUACUCAUCUGUUUAAUCUAGUUCUGCCACUUCUUCUUGAACUUCUUGUUAGAUUUCAAGUCUGCAUUUUGUGUCCGUGACAGUUUGUCGAGACUGCAUUUUCACUAGUAUCAGAGCUAGUUCCUUCUUGUUAGAGAGUGGAUUAUCCCUCUUCUUGAAGGUGUGCUAGUAUUUUAGAGGUUGCGGAUUACCCUCCUCUAAACUGAUAUCUCUUCUUUCUCAAUAUUGGAGCCUUAUUCUUCUUGGAGAGAGUGGAUUACCCCUCAUCUUGGAGUCUUAAGGCGUUUUAGAGGUUGCGGAGUACUCUCCUCUGAACCAAUAUUGUCUUCUUGUCAAAACUCUUUUUUCUUCUUUCUGAAGGUUAGCCGAAGGUUAAGACGUUAAAAUGGCUGAAAGUUUGGAAUCCAAACUAGAUGCCAUCAUAAAUGCUCUUGCCUCGUUGUCACAUAGGACAACAGAGAUCGAAGGAGUCAUGGUAGGACUCCAUAACAAUGGAGCAUCUGGGAUAGCGCCAUCUAAAGCAUAUCAGCCUCAAACUUCUGCACCAGAAGAAGCAGUUCUACCUCCAUUUCAACAAGAUCGAGUAGUCCUACAACGAAAGGAGCCUCGAGUUAGUCUUCCGGAUAAGUUUGAUGGAACUCGUUCCAAGUUUCGAGGUUUUGUCAACCAAAUCAGGUUGAUAACAAUUUUACAGCCCGAACGUUAUCCGACGGAGGAAGCGCGUGUUGGGCUUGUUGGAACCUUGCUUACAGCACAAGCUCUGUCUUGGUUUACUCCCUUGUUCGAGAAGCGAUCACCAAUCCUGAGUAACUUUGAAACGUUCUUGGAGGCGUUUGCAGAAGCAUUUGGCGAGCAUGAUAAAGUUCGAUGGACUACAACAAAGAUCCGAUCGCUACGACAAGGAACACGCUCUGUAUCAGUCUAUGCCUCGAAUUUCAAACAAUUGGCAAGUGACAUUAAUUGGGGUGAAGAGGCGUUGGUGAGUCAGUUUUAUUGGGGCUUGAAGGAUGAUGUGAAGGACUUGUUGUUAUCUCUUCCUGAUCCUCAAACGCUCAACGAAGCUAUUAGCCAAGCUAUAAAGUGUGACAACCGCCUAUUCCAGCGUCGCCAAGACCAACGUCCAAGACACCAAAUGACUCGUUACGACGUGACUAUGUCUACAAAUAGCUUAAACUCACAUUCGGAGGUAACAGACAUGCAAAUCGACACGGCGCGUGUCCGAUCUCUUAUUCCAACAGAGAAGAAACGGCGUAUGGAGGAAGGGUUAUGUUUGUACUGUGGAGAAGAAGGUCACAAGGUUGGAAAUUGUCCAAAGAAGCAAAAUUGGCACCCUAUCAAGACUAGAAGUGCGAUGAUUCCAGAAAACGACGACGCCCAGCCACAGUAGGAACCGUGCGGCUGGACAAUCUAAUAUCACGACAACAAUCAGGUUCCUCCUUCUCUGUCCAACCUGCCCGUUGUUUUACAAUUCCUUUGUUUUUAGGCCCUCAAAAACAAAAAACUUUAGCUUUAUUGGAUUCGGGGGCAUCUACUUGUUUUUUAGAUGAAGAGUUUGCUAAACGCCACAAGAUCCGUUUAGUACAGAAGUCCAAACCUGUUCACGUAGAGGUGAUAGAUGGACGACCCUUAUUGUCAGGCAACGUUACCCACGAAUCAGAACCUAUAGAAGUGGUGUUUAAGGACCAUAGUAGUCACGUUAUUUUUAAUAUUAUUAGAACCCCAUCAAGCCCUGUUAUCCUUGGUCUUUCUUGAUUAGAAAAUCAUAAUCCGUCCAUUGAUUGGAGGCUACGAAGGAUAACAUUUCCUGAAAAAAAUAAUAAUAAACCUGUUGGUAGAACCUACAUAAAGAAAUCCAUGUUUAUUGGAGCGAGAGCGUUCCUAAGAUCGUCCAAGGAAGGCGCACCAUUUGUCAUUUAUGCAGCUUCAACUAGCGGCGAGAAUAUCUCAACAUCGAAUAUACCAUAGCAAUAUAGGGAUUUUGAAGACGUGUUUCAGAAGAAGAACGCCGAUAUACUGCCGGAACAUCGACCAUAUGAUUGCGCCAUAGACUUAGAGGAAGGAGCGCAACCACCUUUUGGUCCAAUAUACAACCUAUCGCAGACGGAGUUGGCAGAAUUGCGGAAGUACAUCGAUGAAAAUCUAGCCAAAAAUUUUAUUCGACAUUCAAAGUCGCCAGCUGGAGCACCAAUCCUAUUCGUGAAGAAAAAGGAUGGCUCACUGCGGAUGUGCGUGGACUACCGAGGACUCAACAAGGUGACCAAGAAAAAUCGCUAUCCCUUACCUUUGAUCUCCGGCCUCUUAGAUCAACUUGGACGUGCAAGGAUUUUUACAAAGAUUGAUUUAAGAGGAGCCUACAACCUUGUGCGAAUCAAAGAAGGAGAUGAAUGGAAGACAGCCUUUCGUACAAGGUAUGGCCAUUUUGAGUACAAUGUCAUGCCUUUUGGUCUUACCAAUGCUCCAGCGGUCUUUCAGCAUAUGAUGAACGACAUCUUUCGGGAGUACCUCGAUGACUUUGUUGUCAUCUAUCUAGAUGAUAUUUUGAUAUUUUCCAAGAAUGAAGAAGAACAUGAGAAGCACGUUUGUUUGGUUCUUGAAAAACUACGCGAACGAGGACUCUACGCCAAGUUGGAGAAGUGUCAAUUUCACCAGAAUGAGAUGGAAUUUUUGGGCUUCAUUGCGACUACAGAGGGCUUGAAGAUGGAUCCAAAAAAGGUAGAAGCAAUUAUAUCUUGGGAAGUUCCGAAGACGGUUAGAGAUGUUCAGUAUUUUCUUGGAUUUGCUAACUUCUAUCGGAUCUUCAUCAAGAAUUAUUCUCAAGUUGCUGCACCACUCACGCGUCUAACAAGCAAAGACAAGCUCGAAUGGGGAUCACAAGCAGCAAAAGCAUUUCAAGAUCUCAAGACGGCAUUCACUACGGCUCCAAUCUUGGUACACCCUGACUUUGCAAAGGCUUUCUAUUUAGAGACCGAUGCUUCAGAUUUUGCUUUGGGAGCUGUGCUUUCACAGAUGGGCAUAGACAAGAAGCUUCACCCAGUUGCGUUCUAUUCACGAAAGUUCUCUGCUGCUGAGAUCAACUACGAGAUCCACGACAAAGAGCUGCUUCCUAUAGUGGAUGCCUUCCAAGAGUGGCGUCACUUCCUCGAAGGAGCUGCACAUCCAGUGACUGUUUAUACGGACCACAAGAAUUUGGAGUACUUCAUGACAGCUCAAAUUUUGAAUCGUCGUCAAGCUCGAUGGAAUAUGUCUCUAUCACGAUUUGACUUUAUUAUCACCUACCGCCCUGGAAAACAGCAAGGAUUAUCUGACGCAUUAUCGAGGAGAUCGUAUCUUGCGCCAAAGGCUGGAGAAGCAGCGUUUGAUCAACAAUGUACAAUAUUGUUGAAACCAGAAAAAUUCAGGAUUUUUGCUACUGUUACAACUAUCGAUGACGGCUUCCUCAGCGAGGUACGUACUACGACCAUUGAGGAUUCUAUAGCUCUUGACAUCAAACAACGUGUCGAUAAUGACAAGUUUAAGGUGGAGGGAGAUCUUCUGUAUUUUGAGGAGCGGUUGUAUAUCCCAAAAGGACCAACUCAACUCCGAGUAUUUCAAUCUCGCCACGACUUUCCAGCUGCGGGACAUUUUGGAUUCAACAAGACUUUGGAACUCAUUUCACGAGAUUUUUGGUGGCCCCAAAUGUGGAAGGAUGUGAAGGAAUUUGUCCUUUCUUGUGAUGUUUGUUCAAGAUCCAAGAUCCCUCGACAUCGUCCAUAUGGACUUCUCCAGUCAUUGCCUAUUCCGCACCGACCAUGGUCUUCAGUUUCUAUGGACUUCAUUACGGACCUACCGCCAUCGAAUUCAUUUGACAGCAUCUUUGUUGUGGUGGAUCGAUUUACAAAGAUGGCGCAUUUCGUGCCUUGCAAGAAAACAUCGUCAAGUGAAGACACCGCAAGACUCUUUCUUGAUAACAUAUAUCGUUAUCAUGGCCUACCAGAUGAUAUCGUGUCGGAUCGAGGUACUCAGUUUGUAUCCAAGUUUUGGAGGUCUCUCUUUGAGAUAUUGAAGGUGGAUAUUAAGCUCUCUUCGGCUUUUCAUCCUCAAACUGACGGUCAAACGGAGCGGGUGAAUCAAGUUUUGGAGCAAUAUUUACGAUGCAGCAUCAACUAUCAACAAGAUGAUUGGACUGCAUAUCUACCGCUUGCUGAGUUCGCAUACAACAACACUCUUCAUGCGUCAACUCAACAAACACCAUUCUUCUCCAACUACGGAUACCACCCCAAGCUCGAUUUAUUGAGUUCUUCAGCAAAUAACAACCCAGCAGCUGAAGGAUUUGUGAAGCAACUAUCGGAGCUUCAAGCGACGUUGAAGCUUCAAUUGCAAUCUGCCCAAGAGAGUUACAAGGCAUCUGUAGAUAAAUAUCGAAAUGAGGGGCCUACUUUUAAAGUUGGAAGUAAAGUAUGGCUUCUUCGACGGAAUAUCAAGACCAAGCGGCCAUGUGACAAAUUGGACUAUCGGAGAUUAGGGCCAUUUGUUAUCGGGAAGCAGAUCAAUCCGGUGGCAUAUCGUCUGGAGUUACCAGCUACUAUGAAGGUACAUCCAGUCUUUCACGUGGCUUUGUUGGAACCUUAUCGAGAGUCAGCUUUUCCCCAAAGAGUACAAAGUCCGCCACCAAGUAUCGAAAUUGAAAACCAUGAGGAAUACGAGGUGGAAAAGGUAUUAGAUUCACGGCGUAAUAGAAGAAAAUUGGAGUAUUUAGUGCAUUGGAGUGGAUACGACAUCAAUGAACGAACGUGGGAGCGUGCCAAAAAUCUUGCCAAUGCGCCAAAAAAGGUACAAGAAUUUCAUCAACGAUAUCUUCAUAAACCUAAGCCGAUUCAACGAUAGCUUCUUGCUGAAGCUUGCUCAUCAAGUAGCAUAAAAAGGGAGGAGGGCACCUCCAAAACCCAUAGUUCGAUAGUGUAGAACUUUGUUAGCAACUAUAGUUUGCUCUCAUCAUUUUAGCCUUUAGACAUGGAUAGUCAAGAUACUACACUUGUUAUGUCAUCUCAAGCGACUAGCUCACGAAGACGACCGCAAGAUGAAGAACCGCCUGCACCACGACGACGUCGGAGGAUACCGAGCAACAGAUCGCUAGUAAUUGUAUUUGAGGUCGAGCCUGCCUACGACGGUCAGCCAGAAGGUGUGUUUGGAGGACAGUUUCACAAUGAAGACACAGAAGUCCACGCUUGGUCAGAGGUUGAAGGUGUUGGUCACUACCGUUGGCUCCAAGGGCCGAUGAAUCAUUUGCCUUGCGAACAACAAUUGGAAUUCAUAGCGGAUGUGAUGCGACAGAUUUUCAUUUUCUUGCGUUGGCAUUGACUGAUAAUAACAUUGCUUCUCGGAGACCUCGAAGCUAGAAGAGGAGGUGAUGUCAUGGACAUACAUUGGAAGAUUCUUCGAAUAUUCUUCUAGAAUAUUCUUUAAAGAUUCUCUAAAGAUUCCUUUAGAAGGUUCUAAAAGAUUCUUAGAAUAUUCCCUAAAGAUUCUCUUAGAAUGUUCUAGAAUAUUCUUAGAAGGUUCUAGAAUAUUCUGAUAGAUUCUAGGAAGUUGCUCGAGAAGUUUCCUAAUUAGUAGAAGUUGUUGGAGAAGCGUCCUAGUUAGCGGAAGUAGCUCGAGAAGCUUCCUAUUCAGUAGUAUAUGUAGGAGUCGAGGCUGAAGGGUUCUUCAGUCUCGACAACACAUCUCUUGGAGUUCUAGCUCACCUUUCUGGUGUUGUUCUUGUACUCAUCUGUUUAAUCUAGUUCUGCCACUUCUUCUUGAACUUCUUGUUAGAUUUCAAGUCUGUAUUUUGUGUCCGUGACACUAAUGGGAUGACCAAGAUCAUUUUCUAAUCCUACAUGGAACAAGCCUAAUAGGUAUAUACCAGUGGAGACACCCAAUAUGCUUGAUGGGGGUGCAAGAAGACCACUUUGUUGUUUCCGUUGCAGACAGAUUAGUCAUUAUGCUAGCGAAUGUCUCAAUCCUUCAGCGAGUUACAAAUUACGUGCCAGUGUGUGGGAGUAGCAAGCAGUCGGGGCAUACUUAUCAGCAAUGUAAUGUUCCAUUCAAUUUCAAUAAUCGGGAUCAGCAGAUCCAAAGUCAAAGAAAAAUUGAGGAGAUAAAUCGAGGUCCUCAAGAUACUCCGAUAAAUCGGGUGGAAUGUGUCCAAGCCGUUCUUACCAAGAGUCGACAAAAGGAGAAAGGACCAUUUCAACAAUUGGGUGAGCCUGAUGCAAAGGACCAAUUUGACUCAAUUACGAGGACAUCCAAUCUAGAUCCUGUUAUAGGCCUCUUAUCCAGUAUGAGACCUGACUCGGUUGGACAGCCUGAUGAGGUUCCAAUCACAGAGGCUUCAGUUCUAUUCAAGUUGUUCCAUUCACUAUGCCAUUUUGGAGAAACAUCCUUUUCAUAGAAAGAUCCUCUUAGAGGCAAGAAUUCCAUGGAAGCGUGGUCUGUUGUUUCAAUUCAAAGUCUAGGGCGGAAGAAUAGGGGGCCUCACGGAGUUAAAAGAAGAGAGAAAAAAAAGAAGGGGCAAUCGGAAAAUCGAGAUUUUAAGAUAGGAGAGCUAGCUUCAAGCUCUUUUGAAAGGUGUAGAAUUGGAUUUCAUAGGGUUUGGGAGGACUUGGCAAUCAUUGCUCAAAGUUAGUAUUUAUAUUGAUGAAUUGGAUUCAUAGGGUUUGGGAGGACUUACAGUCGUUGCUAAAGUCCCUGUUUAUUUCGGUGAAUUGGAUUUUUGCAAUAAAGUAACGGCUAGUACUCUUGUCUGUUUUGUAAAAUUGGAGAGAUAUCUAUAGUUGAAAUUUUAGAAAUAUCUAGAUGGUUGAGUAUGCCAAGUGCAUGUAAAAAUUUGUAUUAAUCUAAUGGUACGGAUAGAGGAUAUUUGAUCGUUAGUGUAAAGAGAUAUCAAAAGUUGGCAUAUUGAGGUUGUUUAGGGUUUUUGUAAUAUCUAGAGAUCUACGAGUUAGAAUAAGGUGAAUUUUGACGUGAUAAGUCGUGGACUUAAAGGUGGAGCUGCAAACAAAUUUUGAAUGGAAAUUAAUGAUUAGAGAAGGAAAAAUUGUAAGUUAUAGUUUGUCAUUAAUUUCUAGGCGGUGGUCAAGGGACAUUUGUAUGGAUUUAUGGCAUUUUUUUUUGCAAUCUGUAAGUUGGAUUGGAUUGAACUUCUUGAACAUUUAGAAGACUUGUAAAGAUACUAGUGACAAAAGUUUUACAAUAAUCGGAUGAUCAGAUUGAGAAUUAUGGCUUGCCGAAGCUUCUUGUUUAGGAUUAGGGUUUAAAAAAAUAAAUAAACAAAUAAAUAAAAAUAAAAAUAAAAAUAAAUAAAAUAAAAAUAAAACUAACAAAUAACAAAAGAAAUUGUGCUUAUAAUAUCUCAAAGUUAUUAAAAAUAGUGUUUCUAAGUACUUUGUAUCACGAUUAAGCCUUUACAUUGAAAUCCAAAAUAGUUUGUAUUUAGAUGGUUGAAACCCACUAGACUACUUGGAUACUUACAAAAUCUUAUUUUAUCUUCUAUAGUCAAAUACUCAGUACAUUCUCAAGCUAGAUAGCAUAUAAUAUGACAACGUGGCGAUGUCCUAAAGGACCUCCAACAUGAAUUGACUUUGCUAGCCACAUGUCUUAUCUUGCAAGGCAAGUUAUCUAUGUAUGCGCCACAUAGUUGGCUUGUUCCACAAGCUACUACAUGGAGGUAACUUAUUCCAUAAGCUACCAAUACAUGGUUAGCUUUUUGGCCAAUUUUCUAAUCUACGAACACAUCUAAAGUCAAAACCACGUCUACGAAGCUUCUAAGAAGCUACUCUAUAAGACUUUAUGAAAUUAGUCUAUUUUACCUACUUCUACUUAAUCAUAUAAGUAACUAUUAAAGUAAAUAUAUAUGUCCGUGACAUUACCUCCCCUUCUAGAGAUGAGUUCUAUGAGAAGCGGUCUUCAUAUGUUGAAGAAGUGCAAGAUACGGCAAAUUAUAUUUGCUAUAUACUCUGAUCUUUGCUCUCUUCAAAGAUGGUUGAUAGGUCCAAUCAACCAUCUAUAGUGUCCCAUAUCAGGGCGAGAAGACCACCCUGUUAUUUGGUCAUUGUUAAAGCCUUCAUAACUUCCUUCAAAUAAAACAUUUGGAACACCGUCAGGAUUAGUUCCUACCUUUAAUAAAAUCACUAAACAUCGAGAUUCUCUUCCAAGGUCGUGAUAUCAAACACGUUGUUGUAUGGUGUGAUUUGCUAUCUGGGAACAAAUUGGAUAUCUAGUUGUAGAGAGUGUAGCUUAAAUCUUUAUAUUAAUCUUAUCUUAGUUUCUAAAAACUCCUUUAUUUUGUAUAACACUCAAAAUAUAAAAAAAAAUCCCUUGAAAACAUAUUUUUCCUGCAAAGGGUUUUCUUAUCUCAAACUUUAAAAAUUCAUAUCGCUUGAUCUAACUGUUCAAUUUGUUUCAAUUUAAUAGAAUAGGUAGAAUUCAAACUUAACUUUUAUCACAAAAAAAACCAACCACAAAUUAACUUCCAAUCUUCUCACAUCAAAGAAAUCCUAGUAGAUGCUCUAAAUCCUAAUUUACAAGCACCUAAGCACUAUUUUCUUAAUAUCUCAAGAACACAAUAUUUAAAUAUCAAAAAAAAUAUGUACAAAGUUUAUUAACAUGAAAUUACACAUUUCCUGAAAUUUUUAGAAAAAACCUUGUGAAAUUGCUCAAGAUAUAAUUCAAGACACAACCACUAGUAAAUCGGGUUACUUACUACCCUUAGAUUGCAUGUGCUAACUUCAAAAUCCAAUAACUCCUUUAUUUCAACUUAGAAUCUUAUAAGUAGUAUGUGAUUUUCUAGCCAUGAUAAUCCUAAAAUAACCAGAUUAGAAGGAGAUUUUGUUAUAUUAAAUACUACUACGCUGUUAUGAUCUUUAAUUGUUAUAUCUAAAAGAAUAGUUUCAUGGAUAACAUUUCCAGAAGACAACAAACGACCAUCUAUGACUUCUACAUGUAUGGAUUUAACUUUCUUCACUAAAGAUAUUUUUUGAUUUUUGGCAAAAUCUUCAUCUAUAAAACAUGUUGAGGCUUCUGAAUCUAACAAGGUAAAUACUUUAUGAUUAUUAGAUCCUAAAUGUACUUCUAUUAUAAAAUAAGAAAAGGGAUUUUAGGAGAAGAUAGGACCUUUACUAGGUGUUGCAUAUGAUUCCAGCCGCACGGUCCCUAUUGUAGCUGAAAAAACUCGUUUUUUGAUACACUUUCUUCUUUGGUAAUUGUGCUCCUCAUUUUGUAAUUGUGUUGCUUCUUUGGACAAUAUUAAAUAGUGUGCUUGGCUUCUCCACAAUAUAAACACAACCUCUCUUGGUGAUGUCAAGUCUUUUCCUACUUUGUGAGAGGUUUAAAAUAUAUUAUAUCAAUUUGCAUUGGUUCUCACUUUAACAAAUACGUUUCAAUAAACUUAGGAGUUGGUGCCAUUACUUGACUUAUUCUUCUCCAAUUAAAUCUUUGUUCUUGAUGCCUUUCAAAUAAAUAAUUAUCGCAUGUAAUCGCUUGAAUAAUAAAUUAUUCCAAAGAUUCUGCUUUCGGUAUUGUUAAUAAUAAAUCUUUGACGCUAUCCUUCAAUCCAUAUAAAAAUUAGUUGAUAAGUGAUUUGUUGUUCCAAUUUACGUCACAAGCAAGAUUUUAGAAUUCGACAGCAUAUGUAGUAGCUGAUCAUGAUCCUUGCCAUAAGGAUAGAAGUUUGGUCUCUGCUACUCUUUCUCGAUCAUUUUCUUUGAAUGUGGCCGUAAAUACUUCUAAAAAUGAAUUCAAAUCAUAAAAGAGUCAUGAAUCUUUUUCCAUUAAAGGUGCAAAGUAAGAAAGAGCACUUCCUAAUAGUAGUGCGUCUAUAAAUCUGACUUGGAUAAAUCCAUCAGGAUAUUGGAAAGAGUGCAACCUUAGAUAGAGCUUGACUUGUUGCAAAAAUCCUCAAAAUUUUGAUCUUAUUCCAUCAAACUUCUAAAGCAUACUAAUCCUUAUCCCUGUUAUACUUGUAGAAGCAAAACUCUCUGGAUUUGGUUGUGACAUUGAUCUACUUGCUUCUUUCAACUGCACAACUUUUUGUCAUAGACUCUGAACUUCCUCCAUAGGCAUAGGCAUAGUACUUCCAUGAUUCAUGUUGGAAAUACGUGAGAUUUCUAUUCUUAGAGUAUUGAAAAGCUCAUAAAGAUCUGCUAUAGUUGUAAAUCUAUUCUCACUUCCAUUGAAAGUAGCAUCUAUAAUCUUUUCUUCCAUAGAUAAUUCAAACGAAUUCAAAAGUUAAAUUAAAGGAGGAUAAUCUACAACCUCUAAAAACAAAUCCCACAAAGAGGGGUAAUUCACUCUCUUUAAGGAAAAGAUCAGUGUUAGAAAAUAAGAUUUUUUGUUUAAAGAUAGAUAGUCUGUAACCUUCAAAAUACAAUAAUAAAAGUAAGAUAAUCCACUCACUUCUAAAACAAGACAGAAAUAAUAUGUUAGCACUCUUGUCAAACUAUCAAGGAUAUGAAUCUCGAAGAAAAGAAAUCUUCAAUACACUCUUCUAUCACUGAAGAGAAAUAGAAAGUCACUCAAAAGGUGAUGUAAUAUUAACUAGAAUAGCUAUUGCCAAAAAUAAGAAGACUAGAAAGUCUUGAAACAAGACUAAGACUAGAAAAGGUAUUGAUAAGAGUGAAGAAGGCUUCACUCUUGCCUCCAUAUAUACUAUCUAACUUGGAGCUACGUGGCAAUGUCCUAUAAGACCUCCAACAUGUGUUGACUUUGCUAGCCACAUAUCUUAUUUUGCAAAGUAAGUUAUCUAUGUAUGCGCCAUGUAAUUGGCUUGUUCCACAAGCUAUUUCACGGUGGUAACUUAUUCCACAAGCUACCAAUACAUUGUUAGCUUUUUGGCCAAGUUUCUAACCUACGAAGAUAUCUAAAGUCAAAACCAUGUCUAUGAAGCUUCUAGGAAGCUUCUCUAGAAGACUUUAUGAAAUUAGUCUAUUUUAAUUACUUUUAUUUAAUCAUAUAAGUAACUAUUGAGGUAAAUAUAUAUUUCCAUGAUAAUUUCUAAUAAUUACUUUAUUUAUCAAUUACAAAUUAUAUAUAAACCUUAAUGUUAUAUUUUUCUUAGGUAUUAUGAACCACCAAUUGGAAUAUGGUGCAAUAGAUGGUUCUAAAAUUUCCAUCCUAAUUUUUUUAUAGAGUAAUUCAAUUAGCUUUGGCAUAUGAAUCUUUCGAAUUGGAAUUGACCUCAAAUUCUAUGAUUCAUAUGAAAUUGUGAAAAUAACCACAGGUGCUACAAUACUUAAAUUAAUGCAUCAUAUCUCAUGUAAUUUAGAUGCAAAUGCCUUACUUGUUAAAGUAAAUGGAUGAUAAGUCAGAAGGUAAAAGAUAUUAUCUUAGAUAAGUUGUUAAUGGUCAAAAGGUAACAAAAGGAUGAAGAAAAGUUACCAAGGUGGCGGCUAGGGUUAUAGGUGGCGGCUAGGAUUAUAGGUGGUAGCUAGGAUUUAAAGUGGCAGCUAGGGUUUAAAGUGGCGACUAGGUUAAGAGGAUUCUAGGGUUUAGUUGGAUGAAAGUAAGAUGAAUAGUAGCCCAAAUGGAUGUAACCUCUACCUAUAAAUAAAGGGUACUGGAAGUGAGAGGUAUCUCAUUCCACACUUCUCUUGUGUCUAACCUUGCUGAUUUCUACAUACUUGUGUCUUACUUAUUGUAUUUUUUCAAUAGGUUAUGGGCCCACACACACUUUAUUGUACUAUUCAAGUAAGUUAAAGUCAUUUGCUGGUUGUUACUCUUACCAAGAAUAGAUCUUAUGGUGUUUACUAAUGUUAGAGAUUGUAUGAUCUAAUCUUAUAUUUUGACUUGUGGAGGUUCUGAUUUGGACCUUAUAGAUCUCUUACAUCAGUUUGAAGGUUCUUAACUCCUAGGAUUGAGUGAUUAAGACCUUAUACAAAGACCUUGAUAGUGUCUUUGAUUUUGUCAUGAAAAAGUGAAUUUUAUGAGUGGAAGAACUUGAUGGUGAGGUUGAUUGGAGUUCACAUACUUGUAAGAAGCUUCAAAAGUUGAUUUGGGAGUGUUUGGAGUGAAGAAACAUUCAUUUGUUCACAAGAGGGCAUUCUAAGAUUUUGCUAGUACAAAAUUGUUUUAGUGAUUUUAAGCACAUAGAGACUCUUUUUCUUGAAAUUUUUUGAUAGACCUCUUCUAAGACAUGGCUUCAAGUGAGGGUGAAGGUUUGAAAGUGAUUGAGAAGUUUAGAGGUGACAAUUUCUACCAUUGGAAGGUCAAAAUAGAGCUUUUGUUGGCGUCUUUGGACCUUUGGGACAUUGUAAAUGAAAGUGAAGAGCCUCUAAGCAUGCAUGCUGAUACUAAAGAGAGGAAGGACUUUACAAGACGUGAAAAGAAGGCUUUUGGCAUCAUUGCCACUAAUUUGGAUGAAGCCAACUUUUCUCAUAUCAUCUCUUGCAAAGGACCAACAGAAGUAUGGAAGACUCUUUACAACAUAUAUGAGAGCAAGAAAUUAUCCAAUAUCAUCUUCACAAGGAGGAAAUUCUUCACUUGUAAGAUGGAAGAAGGUGAAGACCUCAUGGCUCAUGUCAACAAGAUAAAGGCCUUUGCUAAUCAACUUGAAAUUAUUGAUAAGCCUUUAGAAGAGAGUGAUAUUGUCAUGACCUUGCUUAUGAGCCUUUCCGAGUCCUACAACUACCUCAUUGUGGCAUUGGAAUCCAUCAAAAUAAAAGAACUGACAAUGGAUUAUGUGACGGCAAGACUUGCCUAUGAAGUGACCAAGAGGAAAGAAAAAGAGCCCCAAAAUGAGGAUUCGGCUCUCUUUUCAAGGCAAAGCAAGGGAAGUCAUCCUAGCCAACGUGGCAAUGUGAGAACUUGCUUCAUUUGUGAAAAAUCACGUCACUUUGCUCGAAAUUGCUACAAAGCUAAGAAAGGAGAUAGAAAAAGUACAAACAAUGCUCAUGAUGAAUAUGGAGGUGAUGUUUAUGCAUUCAUGGCAAGUGAAGGCACUUCUAUGGUUGCCAUAUCCAAGUGGAUCAUUGAUUCUGGUGCCACCAAGCACAUGACUCCAUAUAAGUGUUCAUUUGAUACUUAUGAAGAGAUUUCCACAGCAAAUAUCCUCAUGGGAGACAAUGGCAUAGUACAAGCUAUUAGAAUGGGCUCCAUUAUUAUAGAGAUUUUUGUGAAAGGCCAAACCAAGAGAAUCAGAUUGAAGGACGUCUUACAUGUGCCAAAGAUGAAGAAAACCUCCUCUCUGUGAAUAAACUUGUUCCACAUGGUUGUAAAGUGUAAUUUGAUAAGAAUGGGUGUUUUGUGAAGACAUUGAAAGGAGAUCAUAUUGCAAAGGGCUUUAGAGAUGGCAACCUCUACUUCAUCAAGUGUAAGAAGGUGAAUGGAGUUGAAGUCAUGGCAUUUGCUGAAUUUCCUCAAGAUCAAGACAAGUUUGGUAUUUGGCAUCGACGUCUUGGUCAUUUGAAUGCCAAGAGCAUGAAGGAGCUCCAAUCCAUGGUAAGUGGCUUAGAUCUUGGUCAUGUAAGCUACAAUACUAUGAUACUUGCUUGUGAAGGUUGUAUUCAAGGCAAACAACAAAGGGCCUCAUUUCCAAGUAGAGUUGCAACCAAGUUAUUGGAGAUUGUCCAUUCUAAUGUUUGUGGACCUAUGAAGAUGCCAUCAAUAGGAAGUGCAAGGUAUUUUGUCACAUUCAUUGAUGAAUUUUCAAGGAAAGUAUGGAUUUUCAUCCUCAAAGUAAAGAGUGAGUGUUUCACAAGGUUUAGGGAGUUUAAGGCACUUAUGGAGAAGCAAUGUGAAUUCAAAAUCAAGGUGUUGCAUACAAACAGUGGAGGUGAGUAUAUGUCAAAGCAAUUCAAUAAUUUCUUAAAGUUGCAUGGUACUACAAGACAAACCUCCACUCUUUACACUCCACAACAAAAUGGAGUUGCUGAAAGAGCAAAUCAGACCAUUAUCGAGAUGGCAAGGAUUAUGAUUCAUGCACAACACCUUGGACAUGAGUUUUAGGUGGAAGCAGUGGUGAACGUAGUAUACACGAGAAAUAGGUGUCCUACAAGUGCACUUACAUCAAUGACACUGGAAGAAGCUUGGAGUAGGAGAAAACCUUGUGUUUCUCACAUAAAGACCUUUAGAUGCAUAGCAUAUACAAAGAUACCAGAUUGUAUGAGAUCAAAAUUCGAUGCACAAGGUACAAAAUGUGUAUUUUUUGGAUAUUAAAAAAAUUGAAAAGCUUGAUAGGCUCAUGUGUUUGGAGACUAAAAAGAUCAUCAAAAGUCGUGAUGUUGAUUUUUUGGAGCACAAGAAUCCUUGUGAGCACUUGGAGGUGUGACCAAGUGGGAGUAAUGGUGUGUUUGUGGACACAUCUUCAAAUUCAGCAAAGAAAGAAGAAGACAAAGACAAUGAUGGUUGUAAAGAUGGAAAUGAAGAUGAAGAGGCAAAGAAGGUGGAUAAGAAGGCCUCUAUAAUUGCUAAGACCAGCAAUGAAGAGCAUGAAGAUGUUGAUGAUGAUGAUGGUGAUGAGGAUUAUGAACCUUUGAGUGAAAAAAAGACUAUCUUCAAAAGAAAAGAAGGUUAGAGAUGACCAUGUAGUGCAAUAAGUUGAGUAUUCUUCAAAUAAAAGGAGAUAUCCUUUGAGAGAUAGAAAACAAUCUGGUGAACGGUGGAAGGACCAUAUUUUUCCUCAAAUAAGUAAAGAAUAUAUCAAUGUUGUAUUUUUUGCUGAUCCGUUGAGUUUAUGUCAUGCAAUGAAGUCCACAGAUGCUAUGAAGUGGGAGAAUGCUAUAGAAGAAGAGUAUAAAUCACUCAUGGACAAUGAAACAUGGGAAUUGACUCAACUUCCAUCAAAUCGAGCUUCAAUUGGUUGUAAGUGGGUGUUUAGAAUCAAAAGAGUUGCAAUGGGUAAUAUUGUGAGAUAUGAGGCAAGAUUAGUUGCCAAAGGCUACUCACAAGUUGCUGGUGUUGAUUUCAAUGAGACAUUUGCUCCCGUGGCCAAAUUCACCACUAUUAAAAUCAUUGUGGCAAUUGGGGCAACAAUGGACUUGGAGAUGUAUGAAAUGGAUGUGAAGACGGCUUUCUUGAAUGGAGAAUUAGAAGAAGAUAUCUACAUGGAUCAACCUCAAGGAUUUGUUGAAGAAGGCAAACAACACCUUGUGUGUAAGUUGAAGAAAUCCUUGUAUGGGCUUAAGCAAUCAUCAAGGGCAUGGUACCAACGUAUCGACACCUUCUUUGUGAAUGAAGGAUUUGUGAGGAGUGAAGCUGAUCAUUCCAUGUAUGUGAUGCAAUCAAAAGCCUUCUUAUUGAUUGUUAUUAUUUAUGUUGAUGAUUUGAUCAAUUUGACCAAUACUUUGAAAAAGAUGGAUUUGUUGAAGGUAAAGUUAGCAAAAGAAUUUGAAAUGAGUGAUUUGGGAGAGCUCCACUAUUGCUUAAGAGUGGAAUUUGUAAGAAAUCGAGCUAAAAAGAUCAUUUCAUUGAGCCAAAAGAAGUACAUUGAAGAAGUAUUGAAAUAAUUCAACAUGGAGGAGUGCAAGUCCAUUGAAACACCUUUGGAAGCAAAUUUGAAGUUGAUGAAGCUCACGGUGUCGUAUGGCGUGAUUUGCUAUCUGGGAAUACACUGGGUAUCCAACUGUAGAGAGUGUACCUUAAAACUUUAUAUGAUUCUUUUCUUGGCUUCCAAAACUCCUUUAUUUUUGUAUAAAACUUCAAAUAUAACGAAAUCCCUUCAAACCAUAUUUUUCCUGCGAAGGGUUUUCUCGCCCAGAACUUUAGAAAAUCAUAACUAUUGAUCUAACCGUUCAGUUUGUUUCAAAUUAACAAGAUAGGUAGAAUUUGCCCUUAACUUUUACCACAAAAAAAACAAACCGCAAAUUCACUCCCGAUCUUCUGGCAUCUAAGAAAUCCUAGCAGACACUCCAAACCCUAAUUUACAAGCACCCGAAAAACUAUUUUCCUUAUAUCUCAAAAACCCGAACUCCAAAUGUCAUAAAACUUAUGCACAAAGUUUAUUAACAUGAAAUUACACAUCCCUUGAAAUUUUGAGCCAAAACUUCACAAAAUUGCUCAAGAUAUAGCUCAAGAGACAAAUACUAGUAAAUCGGUUUACUUACUACCCUUAAAUUGCAUGUGCUGACUUCAAAAUCCAAUAACUCCUUCAUCCCAACUUAGAAUCCAGUAAGCAGUAUGUGAAAAGUAUAGCCGCAAAAGUGCUCUAUCCAGUCGCGGUCGCCGAUCCUCAAUUGCCGUCCGUACGCGUGCGUUAUGCCCCAAAGAGUGACAGUAGGUCCAGAACUAAUACCUUAACUUUGAGCGCCUAUAACUUCUUCAUAAAAACCCCAAAUAACAUAAAACUUGCACCAAAACCUUAACCAAAAACCUAAAUCUUCUGACCUUAGCCUUCAAAGUUCG